AUGUGGAGCCCAGGGGAGGAUUCGCCCCUCCUGGAGACUUUAAAGAGAGUUAGGAGCCUACCUGAGGGAGGCAAGCACAGGAACGGCGGAGGACGACGGAGACGAAGGCCUCCCAGGGGGCGCGGCCCCGGGAGAAUGGGCCUGACCGUGGCCUGGGCCCGGCAGAGUCGGGGAAAGGGAGCCCAUCCCCGAGAGAAGGCGUGGGAGAUGGAAAUGACCGCAGAGAUUCCCUGCCGCCUACUUUCACUGAGGAAGUGCCAGCUUCAGACUCCGCCCCCCCAAGGAGGAGGGGGGAUGGGGAAGGUGGAGGGCGCAUGCGCCGGGGGCUGCCUUCGCUGUCCCCUCCUUCCCACCCUGCGUCCGGGUUUUCGCAGGCAUCAGGACCACCCGCUGGCCUCUAGCCGGUGGGGGCUACCGUGGAGCGGCCGGAAGGAGUUAACCGUGGAACUUGCAGAAACUGUUGAGAGCAGCCAGUGAAAUGGUACGGAGAGAGCAGAGCCCAGGACGCCCAGGACGGAGCAUCCCCGAGGCUGAGGUGGAGUGAUGGAGAGAGCCCUGUCAGAGCCCCUGAGGGCUGAAGAGGUGGAGGAUCAGGAAAAGGCCACUUCAUUCUGCGAAGCCUCCUGUUUCUCCCUCUUUUCUUGAACCCCCUUUUCUCCUGCCUCCCUGUUGGGAGCGAUGCUGGAGGAGAGAAGAUUCAAGUGCUGCCCACCCCCUCGGCUCCUUUUGGCUGGACAGACUCCUCUUUGCACGCUCCGUCCUCCCUCGUCCUCCCUCCUCUUCCCCAUCUUUUGCAUUCUUCCUCCGAGACCAUCCGAACCCCACAGAAUCCCUCCCAGACCCGCUGCCUGUCCAGAGCUCUGGAAGGCCUCUCGGGAUGGCAGGUCCCAGGCGGUGAAGGAGCCCAGCUUUGUUUCGGCCCUCGUUUUGGUCCUUUGCUGCUUCUCUCGUCUCCUGCGUUUCUGGCCACAUUUUCUACUCCGCGGAUCGCUUUCAUUAAGAAUGCUUAGGAAGUCCUCUACUGCCUUAAAAUCCUUUUUUUCCACCUCAAGGAUGACACUCAGUUUUUUUUAAAAUCCUAAACACAGUCAAUACUGUGUGCUAGUUCCAAGGCAAAAGAGGGGUCAGGACUAGCAGUAGGGGUCAAGGGACUUGCCCAGGGUCACCCAGCUGGGAAGGUCUGAGGCCAGACUUGAACCCAUGACCUCCAUCUGUGGGCCUGGCUCUCCAUCCACUGAGCCCACCAGCUGCCCCCUAUACUCAGUUCUGCUAGGUAGGUGAUUCUUGCUGAUAAGCCUGUAUUCUUUGCCUCGCAGAGUAUCCUAUUCCAAGCCCUUCCUGUCUUCUUGUUUUUCUAAGCCCUCGUCUUCCAUCUUAAAAAUCAAUCCAACGUCUUGGUCCCAAGGCAGAAGAGCAGUAAAGGGAGUCUCAGUUGAAUGGUGACGGCCUCCGAGACUUCCAAAGAGAGUGAGCGAGG
Molecule: long non-coding RNA, 1477 nt
Filed under: Monodelphis domestica (gray short-tailed opossum)
Lineage: Eukaryota; Metazoa; Chordata; Mammalia; Didelphimorphia; Didelphidae
Description: lncRNA (ENSMODG00000044821.1)
Source: RNAcentral